RNAcentral lists this ribosomal RNA (575 nucleotides) under Escherichia coli. Its description in RNAcentral is "partial 23S ribosomal RNA". It matches the Rfam family "Bacterial large subunit ribosomal RNA", at positions 361 to 940 of the family's 2925-position model. Lineage: Bacteria; Pseudomonadati; Pseudomonadota; Gammaproteobacteria; Enterobacterales; Enterobacteriaceae. The record is from RNAcentral.
AGGGUGACAGCCCCGUACACAAAAAUGCACAUACUGUGAGCUCGAUGAGUAGGGCGGGACACGUGGUAUCCUGUCUGAAUAUGGGGGGACCAUCCUCCAAGGCUAAAUACUCCUGACUGACCGAUAGUGAACCAGUACCGUGAGGGAAAGGCGAAAAGAACCCCGGCGAGGGGAGUGAAAAAGAACCUGAAACCGUGUACGUACAAGCAGUGGGAGCACGCUUCGGCGUGUGACUGCGUACCUUUUGUAUAAUGGGUCAGCGACUUAUAUUCUGUAGCAAGGUUAACCGAAUAGGGGAGCCGAAGGGAAACCGAGUCUUAACUGGGCGUUAAGUUGCAGGGUAUAGACCCGAAACCCGGUGAUCUAGCCAUGGGCAGGUUGAAGGUUGGGUAACACUAACUGGAGGACCGAACCGACUAAUGUUGAAAAAUUAGCGGAUGACUUGUGGCUGGGGGUGAAAGGCCAAUCAAACCGGGAGAUAGCUGGUUCUCCCCGAAAGCUAUUUAGGUAGCGCCUCGUGAAUUCAUCUCCGGGGGUAGAGCACUGUUUCGGCAAGGGGGUCAUCCCGACUUACC